This 32-nucleotide small RNA is filed under the name Bombyx mori (domestic silkworm). RNAcentral's name for it is "ovarian small RNA-31370". The record is from RNAcentral. Lineage: Eukaryota; Metazoa; Arthropoda; Insecta; Lepidoptera; Bombycidae.
UGACAGAAGGCACACCGUGGGCCUCCCACCGC